UAAAUAGCCAGCCUGACAUUUGUUGGGCGCCGGCUUCUUAGAGGGACUUUUGGCUCAAGCCAAUGGAAGUACGAGGCAAUAACAGGUCUGUGAUGCCCUUAGAUGCUCUGG
Molecule: ribosomal RNA, 111 nt
Filed under: Pleostigma jungermannicola
Lineage: Eukaryota; Fungi; Ascomycota; Eurotiomycetes; Pleostigmataceae
Description: partial small subunit ribosomal RNA
Rfam family: Eukaryotic small subunit ribosomal RNA
Source: RNAcentral